RNAcentral lists this ribosomal RNA (497 nucleotides) under uncultured bacterium. RNAcentral's name for it is "partial 16S ribosomal RNA". It matches the Rfam family "Bacterial small subunit ribosomal RNA", at positions 28 to 507 of the family's 1533-position model. The record is from RNAcentral.
GAUGAACGCUGGCGGCGUGCCUAAUACAUGCAAGUCGAGCGAACGGACGAGAAGCUUGCUUCUCUGAUGUUAGCGGCGGACGGGUGAGUAACACGUGGAUAACCUACCUAUAAGACUGGGAUAACUUCGGGAAACCGGAGCUAAUACCGGAUGAUAUUUUGAACCGCAUGGUUCAAAAGUGAAAGACGGUCUUGCUGUCACUUAUAGAUGGAUCCGCGCUGCAUUAGCUAGUUGGUAAGGUAACGGCUUGCCAAGGCAACGAUGCAUAGCCGACCUGAGAGAGUGAUCGGCCACACUGGAACUGAGACACGGUCCAGACUCCUACGGGAGGCAGCAGUAGGGAAUCUUCCGCAAUGGGCGAAAGCCUGACGGAGCAACGCCGCGUGAGUGAUGAAGGUCUUCGGAUCGUAAAACUCUGUUAUUAGGGAAGAACAUAUGUGUAAGUAACUGUGCACAUCUUGACGGUACCUAAUCAGAAAGCCACGGCUAACUACGUG